This 489-nucleotide ribosomal RNA is filed under the name uncultured bacterium. RNAcentral describes it as "bacterial SSU rRNA". It matches the Rfam family "Bacterial small subunit ribosomal RNA", at positions 28 to 510 of the family's 1533-position model. The record is from RNAcentral.
GAUGAACGCUAGCGGCAGGCUUAAUACAUGCAAGUCGUGGGGCAGCAGCUCUGUAGCAAUACAGAGGCUGGCGACCGGCAAACGGGUGCGGAACACGUACGCAAUCUACCCAAAACUGGUGAAUAGCCCUCCGAAAGGAGGAUUAAUACACCGUAACUUAUUAGAGUGGCAUCACUUUAUUAAUAUAGCUCCGGCGGUUUUGGAUGAGCGUGCGCCUGAUUAGGAGUUUGGCGGAGUAAUAGCCCACCAAGCCAUCGAUCAGUAACUGGUGUGAGAGCACGACCAGUCACACGGGCACUGAGACACGGGCCCGACUCCUACGGGAGGCAGCAGUAAGGAAUAUUGGUCAAUGGACGAAAGUCUGAACCAGCCAUGCCGCGUGAAGGAUGAAGGUCCUCUGAUUGUAAACUUCUUUAUCUGGGAACGAAAAGGUACNUUCUUGAUCACUUGACGGUACCAGAGGAAUAAGCACCGGCUAACUCCGUGCCA